GACGAACGCUGGCGGCGUGCUUAACACAUGCAAGUCGAACGGUGACCCAGGGCUUGCCCUGGUGAUCAGUGGCGAACGGGUGAGUAACACGUGGGCAACCUGCCCCUGACUUCGGGAUAACUCCUCGAAAGAGGAGCUAAUACCGGAUACGACCACUUCGGACAUCCGAUGGUGGUGGAAAGUUUUUCGGUCAGGGAUGGGCCCGCGGCCUAUCAGCUAGUUGGUGGGGUAAUGGCCUACCAAGGCGACGACGGGUAGCCGGCCUGAGAGGGCGACCGGCCACACUGGGACUGAGACACGGCCCAGACUCCUACGGGAGGCAGCAGUGGGGAAUAUUGCGCAAUGGGCGAAAGCCUGACGCAGCGACGCCGCGUGAGGGAUGAAGGCCUUCGGGUUGUAAACCGUCUUUCUAGCAGGGACGAAGCGAAAGUGACGGUACCUAGCGGAAGAAG
This 452-nucleotide ribosomal RNA is filed under the name uncultured bacterium. RNAcentral's name for it is "bacterial SSU rRNA". It matches the Rfam family "Bacterial small subunit ribosomal RNA", at positions 28 to 490 of the family's 1533-position model. The record is from RNAcentral.